AGAACGAACGCUGGCGGCAUGCCUAACACAUGCAAGUCGAACGAGACCUUCGGGUCUAGUGGCGCACGGGUGCGUAACGCGUGGGAAUCUGCCCUUGGGUUCGGAAUAACAGCGAGAAAUUGCUGCUAAUACCGGAUGAUGACGUAAGUCCAAAGAUUUAUCGCCCAAGGAUGAGCCCGCGUAGGAUUAGCUUGUUGGUGAGGUAAGAGCUCACCAAGGCGACGAUCCUUAACUGGUCUGAGAGGAUGAUCAGCCACACUGGGACUGAGACACGGCCCAGACUCCUACGGGAGGCAGCAGUGGGGAAUAUUGGACAAUGGGCGAAAGCCUGAUCCAGCAAUGCCGCGUGAGUGAUGAAGGCCUUAGGGUUGUAAAGCUCUUUACCCGGAUGAUAAUGACAGUACCGGAGAAUAAGCUCCGGCUUAACGUCCGUGCCAGCAGCCGC
RNAcentral lists this ribosomal RNA (445 nucleotides) under uncultured soil bacterium. RNAcentral's name for it is "bacterial SSU rRNA". It matches the Rfam family "Bacterial small subunit ribosomal RNA", at positions 26 to 518 of the family's 1533-position model. The record is from RNAcentral.